RNAcentral lists this ribosomal RNA (468 nucleotides) under uncultured bacterium. RNAcentral describes it as "bacterial SSU rRNA". It matches the Rfam family "Bacterial small subunit ribosomal RNA", at positions 335 to 803 of the family's 1533-position model. The record is from RNAcentral.
ACUCCUACGGGAGGCAGCAGUGAGGAAUAUUGGUCAAUGGUCGCAAGACUGAACCAGCCAUGCCGCGUGCAGGAUGAAGCAUCUAUGGUGUGUAAACUGCUUUUGUACGGGAAGAAACACCUCUUCGUGAAGAGGCUUGACGGUACCGUAAGAAUAAGGAUCGGCUAACUCCGUGCCAGCAGCCGCGGUAAUACGGAGGAUCCAAGCGUUAUCCGGAAUCAUUGGGUUUAAAGGGUCCGUAGGCGGCAUUAUAAGUCAGUGGUGAAAUCCGGCAGCUCAACUGUCGAACUGCCAUUGAUACUGUAGUGCUUGAAUAAUUGUGAAGUAACUAGAAUAUGUAGUGUAGCGGUGAAAUGCUUAGAUAUUACAUGGAAUACCAAUUGCGAAGGCAGGUUACUAACAAUUCAUUGACGCUGAUGGACGAAAGCGUGGGUAGCGAACAGGAUUAGAUACCCUGGUAGGCGUAGU